This 804-nucleotide ribosomal RNA is filed under the name uncultured Pelagibacteraceae bacterium. Its description in RNAcentral is "bacterial SSU rRNA". It matches the Rfam family "Bacterial small subunit ribosomal RNA", at positions 35 to 887 of the family's 1533-position model. The record is from RNAcentral. Lineage: Bacteria; Pseudomonadati; Pseudomonadota; Alphaproteobacteria; Candidatus Pelagibacterales; Candidatus Pelagibacteraceae.
GCUGGCGGCACGCCUUAUACAUGCAAGUCGAACGAAGUAGCAAUACUUAGUGGCAGACGGGUGAGUAACAUGUAGGUAUCUUCCCUUUGGUGAGGAAUAACACGAGGAAACUUGUGCUAAUACCUCAUAAGUCUUUACGGAGAAAGCUUUAUGCGCCAAAGGAUGAGCCUGCACUUGAUUAGUUUGUUGGUGGGGUAAUGGCCUACCAAGACUUUGAUCUAUAGCUGAUCUGAGAGGAUGAUCAGCCACAUUGGGACUGAGACACGGCCCAAACUCCUACGGGAGGCAGCAGUAGGGAAUAUUGCACAAUGGAGGAAACUCUGAUGCAGCGAUGCCGCGUGAGUGAAGAAGGCCUUUGGGUUGUAAAGCUCUUUCGUCGGGGAAGAAAAUGACUGUACCCGAAUAAGAAGGUCCGGCUAACUUCGUGCCAGCAGCCGCGGUAAUACGAAGGGACCUAGCGUAGUUCGGAAUUACUGGGCUUAAAGAGUUCGUAGGUGGUUAAAAAAGUUGGUGGUGAAAUCCCAGAGCUUAACUCUGGAACUGCCAUCAAAACUAUUUAGCUAGAGUAUGAUAGAGGAAAGCAGAAUUUCUAGUGUAGAGGUGAAAUUCGUAGAUAUUAGAAAGAAUACCAAUUGCGAAGGCAGCUUUCUGGAUCAUUACUGACGCUGAGGAACGAAAGCAUGGGUAGCGAAGAGGAUUAGAUACCCUCGUAGUCCAUGCCGUAAACGAUGUGUGUUAGACGUUGGAAAUUUAUUUUCAGUGUCGCAGCGAAAGCAUUAAACACACCGCCUGGGGAGUACGACC